AAAACCGCACUGGCAAAUGUUACGAAGGUGGUCUCUGCUGUAUACAUAGUUUGUUAUACACCUUUUUUGAUGCGUGUGAUGUAUGACGUCUCUAUAAAUUCCCCGGACCAGAACAAAACCUACCACCACAUUACGAUGGUGCUGCUGUUCCUUAGUCCGUUACUGAAUCCUCUGAUUUACGUAGGCUGUAACAGACGCUACAGGGAGUAUCUUCUGGGGAGCUUUCGGAAAUUGUUGUCAAAGAUAAAACCGCAGUUACCUAACGACUACUCUGUGGAAGGCGAUACAGUUGUUACUAUCGAGAACAGUGAACCUGCAGGCGCGGCCAACACGAACACGACAACCGUCUGACCAACCCUUAAUUCAAUUCAUUUUAGUUCUGUUUUUGAUUGAAUAUCUAUAAAUGUUUUGAUCUUUUUUCCCAACAAAAUGUUUCAGUAUAUUCAGUAAAAUCUCAAAUUGUUAA
This is a long non-coding RNA of Saccostrea cuccullata (small rock oyster), 466 nucleotides long. RefSeq lists it as uncharacterized. The transcript is spliced from 2 exons. The record is from RefSeq and is a predicted model, not a curated record. Lineage: Eukaryota; Metazoa; Mollusca; Bivalvia; Ostreida; Ostreidae.